GACGAACGCUGGCGGCGUGCUUAACACAUGCAAGUCGAACGGAAAGGCCCUGCUUUUGUGGGGUGCUCGAGUGGCGAACGGGUGAGUAACACGUGAGUAACCUGCCCUUGACUUUGGGAUAACUUCAGGAAACUGGGGCUAAUACCGGAUAGGAGCUCCUGCUGCAUGGUGGGGGUUGGAAAGUUUCGGCGGUUGGGGAUGGACUCGCGGCUUAUCAGCUUGUUGGUGGGGUAGUGGCUUACCAAGGCUUUGACGGGUAGCCGGCCUGAGAGGGUGACCGGCCACAUUGGGACUGAGAGACGGCCCAGACUCCUACGGGAGGCAGCAGUGGGGAAUAUUGCGCAAUGGGCGGAAGCCUGAUGCAGCAACGCCGCGUGCGGGAUGACGGCCUUCGGGUUGUAAACCGCUGUCGCCUGUGACGAAGCGUGAGUGACGGUAAUGGGUAAAGAAGCACCGGCUAACUACGUG
This 468-nucleotide ribosomal RNA is filed under the name uncultured bacterium. RNAcentral describes it as "partial 16S ribosomal RNA". It matches the Rfam family "Bacterial small subunit ribosomal RNA", at positions 28 to 507 of the family's 1533-position model. The record is from RNAcentral.